CUAAAAUUGACUUCUUUUCUAUCGUAUGUCUAUAUUACACCUAUUUCAAGAAGGAAAACCUUGAGAGCGGCAACACAAAAUCUUCAUCUACAGUUUCCUGCCUGUGAAGUAGGAGCUUUGUCACCCACUGCAACAUCUAUGGAUGUGAGCUGGGCUCCUCAACUUUGUGCAUCAUGGAUACCCCUCUGGCUUUUCUCUGGAGAGGUGAUAAUUGCAUGCUUUGUACAGUCUUCUAUUAAUCUGGUAAUAUGAAAAAUGG
RNAcentral lists this long non-coding RNA (259 nucleotides) under Cyanistes caeruleus (blue tit). RNAcentral's name for it is "lncRNA (ENSCCEG00000013153.1)". Lineage: Eukaryota; Metazoa; Chordata; Aves; Passeriformes; Paridae. The record is from RNAcentral.